RNAcentral lists this unclassified non-coding RNA (272 nucleotides) under Glomus sp. RNAcentral's name for it is "partial contains 5.8S ribosomal RNA and internal transcribed spacer 2". Lineage: Eukaryota; Fungi; Glomeromycota; Glomeromycetes; Glomerales; Glomeraceae. The record is from RNAcentral.
GUGAAUCAUCAAAUCUUUGAACGCAAAUUGCACUAUCUUCGUAGAGUAUGCGUGUUUGAGGGUUAGCCUAAAGAAAAUCGCUAUAGUUACUGUUACGCGGUAACAUUCGUCGGAAGUUGGGUCAUCUUAUACUUUUGGGUUGAAGAGGUUUACAAUUUUAUUUACGAUUAGAAGAAAGUUUCUAAGAUUUUAUUUUCUUAUAUGUUUGAGGUAUCGAUCUUUAUUAGAUGUGGCCGUUGCAUCGGGUAUCUGUCAUAAAUAUUUCGUUAUAU